GCAGGCCUAACACAUGCAAGUCGAGCGCGAAAGCACUUCGGUGUGAGUAGAGCGGCGGACGGGUGAGUAACGCGUAGGAAUCUACCUAGUAGUGGGGGACAACUCGGGGAAACUCGAGCUAAUACCGCAUAAGCCCUACGGGGGAAAGCGGGGGACCUUCGGGCCUCGUGCUAUUAGAUGAGCCUGCGUUGGAUUAGCUAGUUGGUGGGGUAAAGGCCUACCAAGGCGACGAUCCAUAGCUGGUCUGAGAGGAUGAUCAGCCACACCGGGACUGAGACACGGCCCGGACUCCUACGGGAGGCAGCAGUGGGGAAUAUUGCGCAAUGGGCGAAAGCCUGACGCAGCCAUGCCGCGUGUGUGAAGAAGGCCUUCGGGUUGUAAAGCACUUUCAAUUGGGAGGAAAGGUUCACGGUUAAUAACCGUGAGCUGUGACGUUACCUUUAGAAGA
RNAcentral lists this ribosomal RNA (448 nucleotides) under uncultured Gammaproteobacteria bacterium. Its description in RNAcentral is "bacterial SSU rRNA". It matches the Rfam family "Bacterial small subunit ribosomal RNA", at positions 42 to 488 of the family's 1533-position model. The record is from RNAcentral. Lineage: Bacteria; Pseudomonadati; Pseudomonadota; Gammaproteobacteria.